RNAcentral lists this non-coding RNA (23 nucleotides) under Arabidopsis thaliana (thale cress). Lineage: Eukaryota; Viridiplantae; Streptophyta; Magnoliopsida; Brassicales; Brassicaceae. The record is from RNAcentral.
GAGUAAAUCUGUUAUGCUUUGAC